RNAcentral lists this ribosomal RNA (469 nucleotides) under uncultured bacterium. RNAcentral's name for it is "partial 16S ribosomal RNA". It matches the Rfam family "Bacterial small subunit ribosomal RNA", at positions 28 to 507 of the family's 1533-position model. The record is from RNAcentral.
GACGAACGCUGGCGGCGUGCUUAACACAUGCAAGUCGAACGAUGAACUCCCGCUUGCGGGGGUGAUUAGUGGCGAACGGGUGAGUAAUACGUGAGUAACCUGCCCGUGACUCUGGGAUAAGCCUGGGAAACCGGGUCAAAUACGGGAUACUACUUCCGGCCGCAUGGGGGGGGGUGGAAAGGGUUUUACUGGUUUUGGAUGGGCUCACGGCCUAUCAGCUUGUUGGUGGAGUAAUGGCUCACCAAGGCGACGACGGGUAGCCGGCCUGAGAGGGUGACCGGCCGCCCUGGGUCUGAGACACGGCCCAGACUCCUACGGGAGGCCGCAGUGGGGAAUCUUGCACCAUGGGCGCAGGCCUGAUGCAGAGACGCCGCGUGUGGGAUGACGGCCUUCGGGUUGUAAACCGCUUUCAGCAGGGAAGAAGCCUGUAGUGACGGUACCUGCAGAAGAAGCGCCGGCUAACUACGUG